CGCUGUACUGUACCGUCCUGAAGGGGGCGCACAUACGCUCCCACUCCUGGCUGGAGUCCUGCAUUGUGGGCUGGAGCUCUUCAGUGGGGCAGUGGGUGCGGAUGGAGAACGUUACAGUCCUGGGUGAAGAUGUGAUCGUGAACGAUGAGCUCUACAUCAACGGUGCCAAUGUCCCUGCCUCAUAAAUCCAUCGCAGACUCUGUUCCUGAGCCGCGGAUCAUCAUGUGAAGGACCCUUCACGCCCCUCACAAAGUGCCCGAGUGUGUAACCGCUUGAUGACACGAGAAUCGACCGAUACGCUUAAUGAGCAUGAUGGGAACGGUGUUAUUUGUGAAGAAUCUGAAGUAUGCAGUUACUGACUGUGGUGUUUGAGAAAGUGCUGCCGCAGGAAAAAUCACAUCUACAGUAUAGUAGAUGAUCUCCAGCUGAAAGGCUGCAUCUCACAUUUCUCACCUGUCAAGUGCUGUUUUUUCAUGAUUUCCCUCUGUCUGCAUUGUGUUCCCUAUUACUGACAAUUAGACCAGGACUCACCUUGCUUUGGUGCAUUUUGUUGAUUUUGAGACACUAGUAAGCUGUCUAGUUUGUAUUCUUUUCAUUGUGUUUUUCCAUUUCUAAACGGGGGCAUGUAACGCUUUCAGGAUAAAACUCGGUGCCUGUAGAAAGAAUGAGAAGAAUGUUUAUGUAUCAGAUGAUGCAAAAGCUGAUUACUAUAAAGACUGUUCAUACCUAAAA
This is a long non-coding RNA of Cyprinus carpio (common carp), 732 nucleotides long. RefSeq lists it as uncharacterized. Lineage: Eukaryota; Metazoa; Chordata; Actinopteri; Cypriniformes; Cyprinidae. The record is from RefSeq and is a predicted model, not a curated record. The transcript is spliced from 2 exons.